RNAcentral lists this ribosomal RNA (460 nucleotides) under uncultured bacterium. Its description in RNAcentral is "partial 16S ribosomal RNA". It matches the Rfam family "Bacterial small subunit ribosomal RNA", at positions 338 to 795 of the family's 1533-position model. The record is from RNAcentral.
CCUACGGGGGGCAGCCGUGAGGAAUAUUGGUCAAUGGACGAGAGUCUGAACCAGCCAAGUAGCGUGAAGGAUUACUGCCCUAUGGGUUGUAAACUUCUUUUAUAUGGGAAUAAAAUGUUCCACGUGUGGGUUUUUGUAUGUACCAUAUGAAUAAGGAACGGCUAACUCCGUGCCCGCAGCCGCGGUAAUAAGGAGGAUUCGAGCGUUAUCCGGAUUUAUUGGGGUUAAAGGGAUCGUAGGGGGAUUGUUAACUCAGUUGUGCAAGUUUGCGGCUCAACCGUAAAAUUGCAGUUGAAACUGGCAGUCGUGAGUACAGUAGAGGUAGGCGGAAGUCGUGGUGUAGCGGUGAAAUGCUUAGAUAUCACGCAGAACUCCGAUUGCGAAGGCAGUACACUGGCCUGCAACUGACACUGAGGCUCGAAAGUGUGGGUAUCAAACAGGAUUAGAUACCCGGGUAGUC